RNAcentral lists this ribosomal RNA (430 nucleotides) under uncultured bacterium. RNAcentral's name for it is "bacterial SSU rRNA". It matches the Rfam family "Bacterial small subunit ribosomal RNA", at positions 355 to 776 of the family's 1533-position model. The record is from RNAcentral.
UAGGGAAUUUUGCGCAAUGGACGAAAGUCUGACGCAGCAACGCCGCGUGAGUGAUGAAGGUCUUCGGAUCGUAAAGCUCUGUUGAGUGGGAAGAAUAACCUCGCAAAUAAUACGUGCGAGGGAUGACGGUACCAUUCGAGGAAGCCCCGGCUAACUACGUGCCAGCAGCCGCGGUAAUACGUAGGGGGCAAGCGUUGUUCGGAAUCACUGGGCGUAAAGGGAGCGUAGGCGGAUUGGUAAGUUAGGAGUGUAAUCCACAGGCUCAACCUGUGGCUUGCUUUUAAUACUGCUAGUCUUGAGUAUGGGAGAGGAUGAUGGAAUUCCAGGUGUAGCGGUGGAAUGCGUAGAUAUCUGGAAGAACACCAGUUGCGAAGGCGGUCAUCUGGCCCAAUACUGACGCUGAGGCUCGAAAGCUAGGGGAGCAAACAGG